This 3235-nucleotide long non-coding RNA is filed under the name Canis lupus familiaris (dog). RNAcentral describes it as "lncRNA (ENSCAFG00845014100.1)". The record is from RNAcentral. Lineage: Eukaryota; Metazoa; Chordata; Mammalia; Carnivora; Canidae.
UUUUUUAAAGAUUUUAUUUAUUUAUUCAUGAGAGACACAGAGAGAGAGAGGCAGAGACACAGGCAGAGGGAGAAGCAGGCUCCAUGCAGGGAGCCUGACGUGGGACUUGAUCCCGGGUCUCCAGGAUCACGCCCUGGGCUGAAGGCGGUGCUAAACCGCUGAGUCACCAAGGCUGCCCCAGUUUCUCCUUUUCUUAACUCCUGACCGUCUCCCUGCCCCCCAUCCCAAGCUGGUUUUUAUAUUGUCUCUAUUGGUUUGCCUAUUCUAAUGUUUCACAUAAGUAGAGAGAACACGGGGCCUUUUGCAUUUCGCUGCUUUCACUUACUAUCAUGUUUUUAAGGUUCCUCUGUGUGCAGGACAGACGUAUCAGAACUUCAUUUGUUUUGUAGCUAAAUGAUACUUGGUCGUGUGGACCUACUGCAUUUCAUGCAUCUAUUCAGCUGCUGAUGGACACCCGGGUUGCUUCCAGCUUCCGGCUACUGUGGUACUGUUACCAGGACCGCUGGUUGCAGGUUUCCAUCUGAGUCCCCGUUUCCAGGUCUUUUGGGUGCACAGCCAACCACAAGUGGAAUCGCUGGGUAAUUCUACAUCUCGCUUUUUGAGGAAGCACCAAACUGCCUUCCACGGUGGCUGCACCAUGUCGUGUUCCCACCGGUGACACAUGAGGAUCGUGGUUAUCCUCGUGGAUAUGACGUGGUGUCUUGGCGUGUGUGCGCCUUUAAAGAGACUUGGUUGUACAGAGAGGUUUUAAGUUUGCUGUAACAUUGAGAGGAGGGUCCAGAGGUUUUCCAUACGCCCCCGCACCCCAACUCGUGCACAGCCUGCCCCGCUAUCAGCAUCCCCACUGGAAGGCACAUCCGUUGCACCGGUGAACCUCCACUGACACGUCAUCACUGUCAGAGCCCACGUUUUAUACUAGGGUCACCUUGGUGCCAUACACUUUGUGGGCUUGGACAAAUGGGGACAUAUACUCCAUGUCACACAGAGGUUUUCAGUGCCCUAAAUGUCCUCCGUGCUUCCUGUCCAUCCCUUCCUUGUCCCCUUGACCCCUGGCAGCCACUGGCCCCUUUACUGUCUCUGCAGUUCUGCUUUUUCCCUCGUGGGGUUUUGGAGGUUUUCCUAGGAGAGAAUCUCGUCUACAUGUUCUUGGCAGUCUCCCGCAGCAGGGCUGGAGGACAGUGGGCCGGUGUAAAGGGGCCCACAGAUGAGCACAGAGCCAAACAUGCAGGGGGGAUGCCCCGUCACCUCCGCUGGGGCCCCUUCAGGAGAGGAGUCGUUCGUCCCAGAUGGUUUUCUCCCAAAUGCACAGUCGCUCAGGCAGGGGAGCCGCACCCCUGCCCCUCACAUUGGGGUUAAUGUCCACACAGCGUCAUUAAUCAUUAUUGUAAUUAUUUUUAGUUUCAUGAGACUGCAAGUGGCUUAACUUGCUCUGCGUUUUUGCAAGGUAUCCUUGAUCCUUCGAAAGUAAAAUUAAAGGAUAUAAUUAGCUCGUUUAAUAGAGAAUUGCACUCGGUUUGCUGUCACCCUAAUGGCUCGCUCCCCUCCUCCGCUUCAGGGUUAUUAAUGGGUGUUAUUGCGAGCAGCCCGCCCCUGUGAUGAGGGCUCUUCCCGGCUGGUCUCGCCUCUUCAUGUCCCCAAACGGGGUCACUCCACUUCUUUGCGUCCUUCCACACAGUCUGAAACAGGACCCCAUGAUGAGUGUAGCACAUCUCUCAGGUGGACAGGCACAGGGUUGUGAGUCAGAGUGGCAGGGCAUAGCAGGGAAAGCUAGUGCAACACAUACAGGGGCAGACAGAAGCUUGACUCUGAACAAGGCUGUGCAGUUCUUCUGCAUGCAUCCAGUGCUUCAGGAGACAUAUUGUUUGCAAAGCAGGUGGAGCUCUGUUUGCAGACCCCCAGGCAUGAGUCCUAUUAACCCCACCAGGCAAGCAUUUCCUCUCUGCCGGGGGUGCACACCGCCUUUCCCUGGGCUGGAACAGAAGCCACGAGGCCCCGGUGACUGCAGGAGCUGCGAGAUCCUCCUACAGUUCAGCAGGUGUUGCUGGCAGGGAAGCCGCGGGCCCUUGGACCACUGAUUUCAAUGUGCAAUGGAAACUAAAAAGCUUGAAUAUUCCCCAAGUUCCUUGAUACACCGUUUUUUUUUUUUAAUUACGUUUUUUUUUGUAAAUGCAAGGAAAAUUACAACUCUGCUCAAUGUCUGACAGGAGGCAGAACAGAGUUCUGUAAUGUGACUUAGGAGACUUCCCGUGGUCUGACAUCCUGGCCCAUUCCCAGCUCCAAGUAUCACCGAGUCUUUAGGAACUCCUCCCUCCCUCCCUUCCAACGGGUGCAGAAGCCUGGAGAUACAGUGAAAAGUCACUUCUCUCUUCCCAGCUCAACAGGGCAGUGGAGUCCAUUUGAGCUGGGCCACCCCAGCUGAAAGGGCUCCCCGCUGCACUGAGAUGGGACCCCUCGGCCACUUGCCUCUGGCCUGACAAGCUGUUUGGCAAAGUGUUCACCUGGGCAGACUUGGCAACUGCGUGUCGGCAGCAGGUGUGCCCCCAUGACAGCCCAGCUCAGGACCAGCUACACCCUGUCCCCCAGGCCCCGGACACUUCCCCUCCCACCCCAGGUGCUGUGGCAGCUGCUCUAGAAAACACGUGUGCACAUUUCCUAUUUUAGUAUAUGUGCUGCUGAAGCGAGCACGUGUGCACAUUUCCUAAGACGAGAGUGCAAGCAGGCUGUAAGUACACGUGGCGGGGCGGGGUGUGUGUGUGCGUGAGCACCUCUGGACGAAAAGAGGGUCACUUGCAAACUGCACAAAAUGAAGCAAAACACUAGCUAGGGUGCAAAAAAAAAAGCUUGAUUCAAAUGUUUAAAAAAAAACAUGAGAAAUUAUUUUCUUCCUUGUGUUGAAUCUCAAAAGACUUAAAAGGGCAUGUGUGUGUGGGGGGGGUUGUGGAUAAAGCACUUUGGUGAAUUUUUUAAAAGAGAAACAUUUUGUUAACUCGAUAGCUUUAUUUUUAACUCACUGUUUUCCGAUUCAAUAAAAGUCUUUAUCAACUGACUUCAUUUUAUAAGUCGCUAAAUUGAGGGCUUUGCCUUCUGUAUUUUAGUAAUUCCUACUUGCCAGACUCAAAACAAGCUGUGUAUCUAUAUAUAAAAAACCGAGACUUGAGAACAGACAAGGAGGGGAAGUUCUGAGCUCCGUGCCUCCCCAGGACUUGGCUGAGACGGUCCACUGUUUGGAUGGCCA